CCCUUAGACGUCCUGGGCCGCACGCGCGCUACAAUGACUUGCUCAGAAAGUUUUUCCUGGCUCGGAAGAGUUCAGGGUAAUCUUUGUAAUACAAGUCGUGUUAGGGAUCGAUCUUUGCAAUUAUAGAUCUUGAACGAGGAAUGCCUAGUAAGUGCAGUUCAUCAGGCUGUACUGAUUACGUCCCUGCCCUUUGUACACACCGCCCGUCGCUCCUACCGAUUUCGAGUGGUCCGGUGAACCUUCUGGACUGGGUUCGCAAGAACUCGGGAAGUUAAGUAAACCUUAUCACUUAGAGGAAGGAGAAGUCGUAACA
RNAcentral lists this ribosomal RNA (313 nucleotides) under uncultured eukaryote. RNAcentral describes it as "partial 18S ribosomal RNA". It matches the Rfam family "Eukaryotic small subunit ribosomal RNA", at positions 1470 to 1796 of the family's 1831-position model. The record is from RNAcentral.